UACGUAGGGGGCAAGCGUUGUCCGGAUUUACUGGGCGUAAAGAGCGCGUAGGCGGAAGCUUAAGUGUGGUUUGAAAGCCCCCGGCUCAACCGGGGAAUGUGAUUGCAAACUGGGCUUCUUGAGGGGGAUAGAGGAGAGUGGAAUUCCUGGUGUAGCGGUGAAAUGCGUAGAGAUCAGGAGGAACACCCGUGGCGAAGGCGGCUCUCUGGGUCCGCCCUGACUCUGAGGUGCGAAAGCGUGGGGAGCAAACGGG
This 253-nucleotide ribosomal RNA is filed under the name uncultured bacterium. RNAcentral's name for it is "partial 16S ribosomal RNA". It matches the Rfam family "Bacterial small subunit ribosomal RNA", at positions 524 to 776 of the family's 1533-position model. The record is from RNAcentral.